This 423-nucleotide ribosomal RNA is filed under the name uncultured bacterium. RNAcentral's name for it is "bacterial SSU rRNA". It matches the Rfam family "Bacterial small subunit ribosomal RNA", at positions 355 to 775 of the family's 1533-position model. The record is from RNAcentral.
UGAGGAAUAUUGGUCAAUGGACGCAAGUCUGAACCAGCCAUGCCGCGUGAAGGAUGAAGGCCUUCUGGGUUGUAAACUUCUUUUACCGGGGAAGAAAACUAUGGUUUCUACUAUAGCCGACGGUACCCGAGGAAUAAGCACCGGCUAACUCCGUGCCAGCAGCCGCGGUAAUACGGAGGGUGCAAGCGUUAUCCGGAUUCACUGGGUUUAAAGGGUGUGUAGGCGGGUAGUUAAGUCAGUGGUGAAAUCUCCAGGCUCAACCUGGAAACUGCCAUUGAUACUAUCUAUCUUGAAUACUGUUGAGGUAGGCGGAAUAAGUCAUGUAGCGGUGAAAUGCAUAGAUAUGACUUAGAACACCAAUUGCGAAGGCAGCUUACUAAACAGUUAUUGACGCUGAGGCACGAAAGCGUGGGGAUCAAACAG